RNAcentral lists this ribosomal RNA (393 nucleotides) under uncultured bacterium. RNAcentral describes it as "partial 16S ribosomal RNA". It matches the Rfam family "Bacterial small subunit ribosomal RNA", at positions 523 to 918 of the family's 1533-position model. The record is from RNAcentral.
AUACGGAGGAUCCGAGCGUUAUCCGGAUUUAUUGGGUUUAAAGGGUGCGCAGGCGGCCAUUUAAGUCAGCGGUGAAAGUCUGUGGCUCAACCAUAGAAUUGCCGUUGAAACUGGGGGGCUUGAGUAUGUUUGAGGCAGGCGGAAUGCGUGGGGUAGCGGUGAAAUGCAUAGAUAUCAAGCAGAACCCCGAUUGCGAAGGCAGCCUGCCAAGCCAUGACUGACGCUGAUGCACGAAAGCGUGGGGAUCAAACAGGAUUAGAUACCCUGGUAGUCCACGCAGUAAACGAUGAUCACUAGCUGUUUGCGAUACACUGUAAGCGGCACAGCGAAAGCGUUAAGUGAUCCACCUGGGGAGUACGCCGGCAACGGUGAGACUCAAAGGAAUUGACGGGG